UACGAAGGGGGCUAGCGUUGUUCGGAAUCAUUGGGCGUAAAGAGCGUGUAGGCGGCCAGAAAAGUCCGCUGUGAAAACUCGAGGCUCAACUUCGAGCUGUCGGUGGAAACUUUCUGGCUAGAGUCCGGAAGAGGAGAAUGGAAUUCCUGGUGUAGCGGUGAAAUGCGCAGAUAUCAGGAAGAACACCCGUGGCGAAGGCGGUUCUCUGGGACGGUACUGACGCUGAGACGCGAAAGCGUGGGGAGCGAACAGG
RNAcentral lists this ribosomal RNA (253 nucleotides) under uncultured bacterium. RNAcentral describes it as "partial 16S ribosomal RNA". It matches the Rfam family "Bacterial small subunit ribosomal RNA", at positions 524 to 776 of the family's 1533-position model. The record is from RNAcentral.